GGUUUGCUGGAAGGACUUGUGGUCCUGGAGCUGUGCCUGAAGGACUGACCCCGUGGAAAAGUGAGAGCAGCUCCUGGAGAACUGUUGCCAUGGCAUGGACUCACACUGGAGAAGCUGGUGAAGGACUGUCCCCUGUGGGAAGGACCCCAAGGGAGCAGGAGAAGGACUCCAACUCCUCUCCCUGAGCAGCAGCAGGAACAACCUGGGAUGAACUGACUGUGACCCCCAUUCCCAUCUCCCUGCACCACUGGGGGACAGGAGGUUUCUUGAUGUUUUCUUUAUUCCAGGUUCUUUUUUGGGCAGGAGAAAUUCAUAGCCAAGUCCUGUCUGCUUACACAAAGGCUCCAUUGAUCCUAACUUUGUGAUGAAUGGCCAGCUAGAGUGUGAGAGAGAAAAACCACAUUUUUAUCCAGAAAUCUGUGCUCCUGCCAACAAUCUUCAUUCUCUUUGUGCAAGAAAUAAACCAGUUUUCUACGAUUUUCUCAGGUGGGAAAGGGCAAACUACCCUUUGCUUUACUGUUCUGGAGUGGAGGGAGCUCCAACAAUUCCUAUUUGUCCAUUGGGAUGGGUGAGUGACAUCAAUCUCUACUUGAUAAUUGUUUUUCUGGCUUUAAUAUCAUUGCUUUAAUAAAUAAUGCAUUAUACUCAUAGUUAGAGCUCCCUGUACUGUGUAGUAAAUAAUUCUGAUGAAGAUCUCUUAGUCUAAUCAUUAUCAUCAUCAUCAAUUUAAAUAAAUAAAUAAUUUAUUUUAUUCACAUAAAUGUAUUUGGGUUUCCAUCCUUAACCCUUUAAGCAUAAAGCUUAAAUUACACUAUAGACUCUUUUAGACAACUAUGGGACCAGGAUUGGAUCCAGCUGAGCCCAGACUGUUCUCUGAGAAGGAUUUUGGAAAGCCAGGGGGUCCUUUCUUCACCUUGUAGCUCAACAGGAGGGUCUCCCUAACAGCCCUUUGUCUGGAGCUCCCAUUCUGCCUGCAGUGCUGUUACAAACCAGCAGCACUCUGCAGAUUAAUUGGUGUUUUUACCGUGGGAUUUUUUUUGUAACCACGAUUUGCUUUCAGCUGGGAAGCCUGGCUGUGAAUGGCAUCAUGGCAUCCCAGAGCCCUCAUUUUUGGGACGGGUUUCCAGCCAAAGGCUCAGCUUCCCAGUCGAUCCCAAGGUGGGAAGGUCAGUGCUGACCUGGGGAAAUCUUCGGGAUGCUUCACUUCUCCCGAGUCACUGCCUGGGCCCAUUUUCAGGAAGCCUUGCAAAGGCAAAUCAGCUCCAAACUGCACCCUUGGCUGCCUGCCUGGCUCCUUAAACAUCCUCAGGGACACUCCAGCAGCCUUUUGCUGCUGGGAGGAAUUCCAUUGACUCCAUAGGGCUGAACCAUCACUCCAGCUCUUUAAUGCCUCUUUGGUAGCUGUACCUGCUUGGUGCAAUUUGCUUCUUGGCCACCCAUUCCUCUGCACUGAUAUUCCCCAUUUCACUUUUCAUUUUAUCCUGUUACUUUCUUCUGAUUUAAGUUGAGAGUUCACCUGAUAACCAGUUUUUCUGUAAUGCUGAUUAUAUGAUGUCAGUAAGUGGGAACAGCAGAGCCUCUCUGCUUUCCCUCAAUGGGAAGUGACACGCUGCUGAUUAAAAUUUAUUGCUAAUAUGCUUUGAUGAAUGUUUCAGAGCGUGUUAUUGGGUUAGUUUUUUUUUUCAUUUCUGGAUGCUUUCUAUUUCUGUUUUAUCAAUUCUGUUUCCUCCGAUUGUUUUAGACAUAAUGUAUGACGCUAAUAACGUGUCAGCUUCAAAAAUCAGGAGCAGAAAUUGAUACUUCUUCUGAAAACUGCAGUGAGAGGGGAGAGUGAUUUAUAAUGUUCUUUAAAACAAGCAAUUACAUUUGUUGAUUGAGAUGCCAGUUACAUACACAAAAAUAAGGGAAGAUGUUUGAGUUUUCUGCUUCAAAUUAUCUAACACCAAGCAGUAAUUCGUAGCUGGGAAGCAGAUUUAUGAUGUAAGCAAGCCCAACUGCCAGCAAAAGGACUCUCCACUUCCCAGCACCUCUUCAAGGCUCCUUUAAGCUUCCAGCACUCCUUGAGAAGACUUUCACGGGAGUUUUAUGGCAGUUCAGUCCAUUAAUCUCUGCUCAUUUUUUCCCUCUUUAUCCAAUAAUGCCACGGUUCAGCUGCCCACGAGGAAUCGCUCAUUUUUCCUUCAGAGAUCCAGGUUUGUUCCAUUUUUGGGAUAACAUUUUGUAUAAUAACCCCCACCUUGCAAUAAAGACUAAGGGAAGUUCAGCUGCUGGUUAAUGUAAAAAAAAAAAAAAACAUACAUAAGGUGCUGUAAACUAAUUCUUCUCUCUUCCCACAGAUCUUUUAGUCCUUGAGGCCCCUUUUAACAAAGCACUCAAGUGUCUGAUCACCUUUACCCAUCUCAUCUCAUCUCAUCCAUCUCCCACGUGUUCCCACUUUCUCUUGGCUGGAAUUCCUCCAUAGUGCUCCUGGAAAUUCGCUCCAGGAGGCUUCUUGGAGAAAAGAAUUCCUGCUGGAGCAAUUCCUCUGCUGAGCAGGAGCGUGGAUGUGCUGCUCUAUACGUGUUAGUGCUCAACCCUGUUUUUCCACCUAUCUCUAAUUGGGUUUCCAUCACUGCCAGCUGAUUGUUCCUUCCUUAUUUUCUCCUUUAUUCAAAUGUUUUAGAUAAUUUUCCUCCAUCUGUAUUAUUUAAGAUGUUGCCACAACCUCAGAUGUGUCCAAAUUAGGCCUUUUUGAUUUGUUCCCUCUCCCCAUUUCUCCACUCUGUUUGCCUUUCUGGUGCUAGCCAUGUUUCCCAAAACAGAUUAAUUUACCAGCUUUCUUAAUAUAAUUAUUUCUCAGCCUUCCAGGUCCUUUAGGAAAAUAUUAGAGAGUGGGAAUGAUAACCACAAUUCCCUUGUUUCUGCAGAAGAUUUCAACUUGGCAUCGUCGUCGUCCUCCUCCUCUUCUUUUGUUUGCAUUCAAUUACUCAGGUUUUGCAUCUGUCCAAUCCAAUUUGAAUUAACAUUUCAAUUACUCUUUCAUGGAAAAAGAGAGUAAAUGCUUCAUUAAAUCACAUGCUUUAUUAAAAUACCCAUUGACAUCUAUAAAGAAACUUCCCAACAUGAUGUUUUACAAGUGGUUUUGUGCAAAAUAUCAUAAACAGUCUUGAAAUAUGUAAAAUUUUUAAUUAGGUUGCAAUAUAAAAUGUCAGAUUUUUAAUGCCUUCUGUGUGAGGGGAUGAUGAACUGAUUUAAGAGGCAGAAGGUCUCAGGUUUCUGGAGGAAAUUUAUGUGUUUUUGUAGGGAAAUGGAGUGUUGGGGUCCCUGUGCAAUCACAAAUCACAGGACACUGUUCUUGUCAUGGAACAAAAAGAUCAGCCCUGUGCCCCCAGAUAUCAGCACAGAAACUUUCCACUGCUGGAGAGGGUUGGGUUGAGGGCCUGGAGUUGUUCCCAUUUGUCCACAGCUCCUGUGGAAUCAGGGAAAUAGUGUCGGUGUGUCCCCAGGGGCAAAAAGCCAGCAGAAUCCCUCAAAAUCCAUCAAAGUUGUCCCCAAAUCCACCCAAACCUCCCCAAAUCCCAUUGAAACCUCCCCCUCCCCAAAUCUCCCAAAGUCCCAUUGAAAUAUGGCAAAAUUGUAUCAAGAUUCCACUCAAAAUUUCAGCAAAAUCCCCCCAAGCUCCCCCCAAAUCCACUUUAAAUACCCACAAAAUCCCAUCAAAAUUUCCACAAAUGCCCCUUAAAUGCCACAAAUUUUCCCAAAAUCACACAAACCCUCCCAAAAUCCUAUCAAAAACUGCCCCAAAUGCACCAAAAUAUCCCCAAUUCCCCCCCCCCCUGAAUCCCCAAAUAUCCCCAAAUAUCCCCCCAUGUCCCGAAGUCCUCCAUUAAAAAUGAUUAACCCCCAAACUUAGGAAUUUUCACCCCAAACCUCCCCAUUUUGGGGCCGAAAAAAUGACAUUUUAGGUUAAAAGAAGUGCUUAAAUUUGCUCUUAACUAAGGUGAGUUACUAGUGUGGGCAACUGGCCACAGAGUUACACUUCAUAUAGGUAAAAGCAACCACUAAAGUGCUUAAACUUUAUGGUUUAUGGUUUGUCAGCCUUUGUGUCUCUGAGUAAUCACUCAGCAAAAAAUUAAAAAAACUAAAAAAAAAAUAAAAUCAGAUAUUCUUGUUUCUUUCCAUUCCCUCACUCAGUAUUUCAUUUUUAAAUCUCCUUUAAAUUUCCUCCAGCCAGAAAGAAGCUGGUAAAGCAGUGUCAGGAGCUCUAGCGGGGCAGAGCGAUGUCUCUGCUCCUCCACUUGCUGGGCAGACUCCUAAUUAUGGCAGGAAGAUAUUUUAUAACAAAGGCAUAAAAAAAAAGCCCUUUUUUACUAGCUGUUCACACGCCUGCUAUAAUUAGCACUACACUGGGAAGUUUGCUUGCAGUUCAUCUGAACACAUCUACUUUUAACCUCGAUGACCGAGUUGUUUCUCAUGUGCUCAGUCAUGGAUUAAUGCUGAAAAGAUGGAGGUGACCUUUUUUUUUCCCCUUUUUUUUUUUUUUUAAACC
Molecule: long non-coding RNA, 4528 nt
Organism: Pseudopipra pipra
Lineage: Eukaryota; Metazoa; Chordata; Aves; Passeriformes; Pipridae
Exons: 4
Source: RefSeq, a predicted model, not a curated record